GGAAGCUGCCGGACGCCGCCGGCCGCCGGAACUCCGAUCCAAGCCCAAAUUUCCAGAUUUUCUUCUCUUCAUUCCCUCUUCCCAUUUCUUCAACCAAAAUCAUGAAAUUAAUUUGGCCAUUUAAUCCUCCAAAAACCCUAGAACCCUAAGCUAAUUUGGGGGUUUUUGUGAUUUCUUCAUUCCAAGUUCAAAUCAAGGUAAUCUCCCUCCUAAUGUAGCCUCUAUUCAUCUGAUCUAUACCUAUUUCUUCCUAAAUCCGAGUUUUUGAUUUUGAUUUGUGAUUUUGAUGCAUGAACCCGAUUUUCCCUAAAUCAAGAGGCUAGGCUACGGGUUUGGCAAGGAUUUGUGGUGAAGAAGGCCAAGGAGGAGGAAUAGGCCGUGAGUUUUGAAGAAGAAAGGGGAAGGAAUGGGUUUUGGACAAACUCUAGAAUUUUUGGAAUUUGUUUGGUUAAUUUUGAUUUUGUUGAGCUAUUGUUGUUGUUGGAAAAAUUGUGAAAAUUAGAUCUUUGAGGAGGGUUUAAUUAGUAGAAUUUUAUUAGCCUA
Molecule: long non-coding RNA, 543 nt
Organism: Rosa rugosa (rugosa rose)
Lineage: Eukaryota; Viridiplantae; Streptophyta; Magnoliopsida; Rosales; Rosaceae
Exons: 2
Source: RefSeq, a predicted model, not a curated record